RNAcentral lists this ribosomal RNA (253 nucleotides) under uncultured bacterium. Its description in RNAcentral is "partial 16S ribosomal RNA". It matches the Rfam family "Bacterial small subunit ribosomal RNA", at positions 524 to 776 of the family's 1533-position model. The record is from RNAcentral.
UACAGAGGUGACUAACGUUGUCCGGAAUUAUUGGGCGUAAAGGGCGCGUAGGUGGUCAGGUAAGUCAGGUGUGAAAGCUCUGGGCUUAACCUCGGAAUUGCACCUAAAACUACUUGGCUAGAGUACUGGAGAGGGAAACGGAAUUCACGGUGUAGCAGUGAAAUGCGUAGAUAUCGUGAGGAACACCAGAGGCGAAGGCGGUUUCCUGGACAGUUACUGACGCUCAGGCACGAAAGCGUGGGGAGCAAACAGG